UGCGUAGGUGGUGAGGUAAGUUUGAUGUGAAAGCUCCGAGCUCAACUCGGAAACGGCAUUAAAUACUAUCUCGCUAGAGGAUUGGAGGGGGGACUGGAAUUCUCGGUGUAGCAGUGAAAUGCGUAGAUAUCGAGAGGAACACCAGUGGCGAAGGCGAGUCCCUGGACAAUUCCUGACACUGAGGCACGAAAGCUAGGGGAGCAAACA
Molecule: ribosomal RNA, 207 nt
Filed under: uncultured bacterium
Lineage: Bacteria
Description: partial 16S ribosomal RNA
Rfam family: Bacterial small subunit ribosomal RNA
Source: RNAcentral